Molecule: ribosomal RNA, 300 nt
Filed under: uncultured Thermovibrio sp.
Lineage: Bacteria; Pseudomonadati; Aquificota; Aquificia; Desulfurobacteriales; Desulfurobacteriaceae
Description: bacterial SSU rRNA
Rfam family: Bacterial small subunit ribosomal RNA
Source: RNAcentral
GGGAACACACGUGCCAAGAGGCGCGGGAAUGCGGAGGGGGGUAGCGUGUGCUGGAAUGACUGGGCGGAAAGGGGGGGUAGGUGGUUUCUUAAGUCAGAGGUGAAAGGCUACGGCUCAACCGGAGUAAGCCUUUGAAACUGGGAAACUUGAGUGCAGGAGAGGAGAGUGGAAUUCCUAGGGUAGCGGUGAAAUGCGUAGAUAUUAGGAGGAACACCAGUUGCGAAGGCGGCUCUCUGGACUGUAACUGACACUGAGGCACGAAAGCGUGGGGAGCAAACAGGAUUAGAUACCCCGGUAGUC